CUGCUGCCUUCCGUAGGAGUUUGGACCGUGUCUCAGUUCCAAUGUGGGGGACCUUCCUCUCAGAACCCCUACGCAUCGUCGGCUUGGUGGGCCGUUGCCCCACCAACUACCUAAUGCGCCGCAUGCCCAUCCGUGACCGGAGUCGCCCCCUUUGGCCGGAAAGGGAUGUCCCUUCCCGGCGUCAUGCUGUAUUAGGCGGGAUUUCUCCCGGUUAUCCAUCUGUCACCGGCCGGGUUGCAUACGUGUUACUCACCCGUGCGCCGGUCGCCGGCGG
Molecule: ribosomal RNA, 274 nt
Filed under: uncultured bacterium
Lineage: Bacteria
Description: partial 16S ribosomal RNA
Source: RNAcentral